ACUUUUGCUGUUAUUUGUUACCUCAUUUAUUUAAGAGUAGCAUUUGCCUUUUUAAAAUUUUGAGAUUUUGGCCGGGCGCGGUGGCUCAUGCCUGUAAUCCCAGCUCUCAGGGAGGCAAGAGGCGGGAGGAUAGCUUGAGCCCAGGAGUUCGAGACCUGCCUGGGCAAUAUAGCGAGACCCCGUUCUCCAGAAAAAGAAAAAACAAAAACAAAAAAUAAGUAAAUAAAUAAAAUU
Molecule: long non-coding RNA, 234 nt
Filed under: Homo sapiens (human)
Lineage: Eukaryota; Metazoa; Chordata; Mammalia; Primates; Hominidae
Description: HSALNT0073189
Source: RNAcentral